AGAAUCAACGCUGGCGGCGUGCCUAACACAUGCAAGUCGAACGAGAAAGUGGAGCAAUCCAUGAGUAAAGUGGCGCACGGGUGAGUAACACGUGACUAACCUACCUUUUAGUGGGGGAUAACCUAGGGAAACCUGGGCUAAUACCGCAUAAUACCUACGGGUCAAAGCAGCAAUGCGCUGGAAGAGGGGGUCGCGGUCGAUUAGUUAGUUGGCAGGGUAAUGGCCUACCAAGACUGUGAUCGAUAUCCGGCCUGAGAGGGCGCACGGACACACUGGAACUGAAACACGGUCCAGACUCCUACGGGAGGCAGCAGUGGGGAAUUUUGCGCAAUGGGGGAAACCCUGACGCAGCAACGCCGCGUGGAGGAUGAAGUCCCUUGGGACGUAAACUCCUUUCGAUCGGGACGAUAAUGACGGUACCGGAAGAAGAAGCCCGCUAACUUCGCGCCAGCAGGCCGC
RNAcentral lists this ribosomal RNA (459 nucleotides) under uncultured bacterium. RNAcentral's name for it is "SSU rRNA". It matches the Rfam family "Bacterial small subunit ribosomal RNA", at positions 26 to 518 of the family's 1533-position model. The record is from RNAcentral.